AGAACGAACGCUGGCGGCAUGCCUAACACAUGCAAGUCGAACGCUCUUGGGGCUUCGGUUCCAAGGGAGUGGCGCACGGGUGAGUAGCGCGUGGGAACCUGCCCUGUUGUGGGGGAUAACCGAGGGAAACUUCGGCUAAUACCGCAUAAGCCGGUUGUCUUGAAAGAGAUGGCCGGGAAAGAUUUAUCGCGACAGGAGGGGCCCGCGUCGGAUUAGCUAGUUGGUGGGGUAACGGCCCACCAAGGCAGUGAUCCGUAGCUGGUCUGAGAGGAUGAUCAGCCACACUGGGACUGAGACACGGCCCAGACUCCUACGGGAGGCAGCAGUGGGGAAUAUUGGACAAUGGGCGCAAGCCUGAUCCAGCAAUGCCGCGUGAGUGAUGAAGGCCUUAGGGUUGUAAAGCUCUUUCGCCCGCGACGAUGAUGACGGUAGCGGGAGAAGAAGCCCCGGCUAACUUCGUGCCAGCAGCCGC
This 472-nucleotide ribosomal RNA is filed under the name uncultured bacterium. RNAcentral's name for it is "SSU rRNA". It matches the Rfam family "Bacterial small subunit ribosomal RNA", at positions 26 to 518 of the family's 1533-position model. The record is from RNAcentral.